RNAcentral lists this ribosomal RNA (301 nucleotides) under uncultured bacterium. RNAcentral describes it as "partial 16S ribosomal RNA". It matches the Rfam family "Bacterial small subunit ribosomal RNA", at positions 509 to 807 of the family's 1533-position model. The record is from RNAcentral.
CAGUCGCCGCGGUAAUACAGAGGGUGCGAGCGUUAAUCGGAUUUACUGGGCGUAAAGCGUGCGUAGGCGGCUUCUUAAGUCGGAUGUGAAAUCCCUGAGCUUAACUUAGGAAUUGCAUUCGAUACUGGGAAGCUAGAGUAUGGGAGAGGAUGGUAGAAUUCCAGGUGUAGCGGUGAAAUGCGUAGAGAUCUGGAGGAAUACCGAUGGCGAAGGCAGCCAUCUGGCCUAAUACUGACGCUGAGGUACAAAAGCAUGGGGAGCAAACAGGAUUAGAUACCCGUGUAGUCCCUGUCUCUUAUAC